Molecule: long non-coding RNA, 3999 nt
Organism: Mesocricetus auratus (golden hamster)
Lineage: Eukaryota; Metazoa; Chordata; Mammalia; Rodentia; Cricetidae
Exons: 2
Source: RefSeq, a predicted model, not a curated record
ACCUGGUGGGGUAAGGAGAGGAGAAUGUGGGCCCUGUGUGAUGGCACAGAGAUAGAUAUCUACCUUUUCUAUACUCCAUAGGGAUGUAACCUGGGAUGCUCUCAUCACAUCUGCAAGGUGCUUAAAACAGCAGCUUGGGGCUGCUGGAGGUUUUCAGUGUCAAACAGAACAAGUAAGUGCUAGGCUAGGGUAACGGUGGUGGCACUCGUGCUGAGAAGCCCAGAACCUCUGGCCAUAGAAGCCACGGGCCUGGAAGUUUUCUGAAGAUGAACCUACAGAGCUGGGGAACCUGAAGCAGGACCUAGUCAGAGGGCUGCCUUGGCUCUGCCUCUCAUUAGCUCUGGAUGAGUCUUGGAACCAUGAAGCUCCCCAUUUCCUUAACUGUGACACAGGGCAGCAGUAGGACCCACUUUCCAAGGCUUUGGUGAGCUCACAGUGAUGGAAGGCAGGUGCUUGGCCCAGGCCAGGGACACGCCAUUCUUAGGUGGCAGUUGCAGUUGUGAGAUCUCUGUCCUCUUUGCUACACAGAAGGCUGAGCUGAGGCCUAGGCAGACUGGCAAGGCUGCCUCUCCCUCUUUGCCCUAUGGCUCUGUGAGCUCUGAUGGGCACAGUUGUGAGUUGAGAGGGGUGCUGGGCAAGCUCUCAGGCACCUCAGUUCAACAUCUCUCAAGAGUGACCCAUGGCCUCCUGAAGUCUCAGGACUCACAGUCUGCCCAGCAUGAGGGCUGAUCCUGGGUGGGUAGGAAACACACUCAGUUAUAGUCUGGUCUGCAGGAAUCAGCAAUCUGUCUCUGGCUGCUGGGGCAGGGCUGUAUCUAUGUGGCGAUGAGGAAAGGGUUCAGGUUUGCAGGAUGAAGUGAAACCCUGAUUCCACCAGGCCAGCACUAUGAGCCUGCAUCUCAUCAUGCAUGGCAAUCGUACAAGGGAAGCAGAGAAUGUGAGAGAUUAGAAAGACACACAUUCUGAAACAGAAUACCAGAGACACUGAGCAAAGUCAGGACUGUGGCCCGAGCCUGGGAGAGACCCCUCUGCACACCAUCUCAGGGCUACCAGGAAGCGGCUUCAGGGCCAGCCAGGAGGCUCUGGGGGGUUCUUUCCAUGCCAUCCAGAGAUGACUAUGCUGCCACCCCAACAAGCAAAACUACUACUGGCUGAGUGGUCAAAACCCUCAGGGUCAGGAAGGGACCAAAGCUGAGCCUAGGAAGCUUGUUUCCUUCCUUCCUUCCUUCCUUCCUUCCUUCCUUCCUUCCUUCCUUCCUUCCUUCCUUCCUUCCUUCCUUUCAUUCCCUGCCUAAGAAGGCCUUGGCCUGGAAUCUCUGCCACGGACUUCAGAGAUACCAGAGUCACCAAAGCUUACUCCAGGGUCUUCCUUGAUGCCUUGAACCUUGGGAACUAGGGUCCAUCCUGCUUUCAAAGUUCCCUAAGUCUGUGUGUAUUGUGUUGAAUUUCUCAUUAGGAGGGCCGAAAUGGGCUCUGUGGUGAGUCACCAAGAAAGCCCCUCUGCUCCUCCCCUAAGCAGACACUGGUUGGCCCAACCCAUUCUCUCUCACUCCUGAAUUCACCAUGGCUACCCUGCUUUCUGGUCUGGAAGUGACAUGAGACCCUACCUAUAGAUCUUCUGGGACACAGAGGAGGGAAAAGCAACUAACACUUGCUAUCCAAGGGAUGCCAGGAACUGGACCACACCCUCACACGGUUCUUACCAUAUUGAGACAAGGGACUCCAGUAUCCCUGCUCUCGGAUGACAUGAGGGAAGCUAAGAGCCAGACUUCACAGUCAGUGGCAGGGAGGCCUGCCCUGGGGCCAGGGCUCACCCUUACAAGCCUCAGUUGCCGAGGAUUAUCUCAAAGCAGCAUGCGUGAGGAUCCAGAGGCAAUGCCUUCCACAGAGCAUACCUGCCAUGGCUCAGAGACUUGAGUCAUCCCCUGAUCCCCAUGCAGGCCUCUUACUCUCAGGGAUGGGAAAGGAAGGCGUGGAGGGUGGAUUUAAGGAGAAGGCAUCUGGUUUCCCUUAAGAUGGGACUCCCACCUUCCCCUCACAACUCUCAUUUUACCUACCCUACUCCCACUUUUGCCUUGCCUGCCAGGAAGCUCCGGCAACAUGGAACACUGCAUGGCUGCUAAUGUUAACUCCUCUUGCCUCUCUUAAUCUCUUCACUGCCACCUUUUCUGUCUCUCACACACACCAAGGCUGCUCUUGUCCCAAAGCCUUGGCACAUAUGGUAAGCUCUUCCCCAAAUGCCCAGUUUUCGGGCCGGCUACUGUCUUCUGAUACAGCCAAUACUCAGAAUCCCUCUACUUCUUCCUCCAGAACUAAGACCCCCCACCCCAGGGUCUGUGUCACUUCCUGCAGUGAAAUGUCUUAACUGCUGACUUGCUUGUCCAUCCACUGUCCAGGAAUGUCACUCAGGUGCAGCAGCCUCAUCUUGCAGGCCGUCCCUAUCCCAUUAUCUGACACCAGGGGAAAUUCGGCUAUGGGUGGAAUGAAGGUGAACAGCUGCAUAUUUGUGGCAUGUAAUCAUCCCUACAUGCCGGCUCAACCUUGUCCAAUUCUAUUUCAUGGUCCUGUGCAGAUGACUUUUACACCAAACUCUUCAGGGAUCACUCUGAGAAACCCGGUAGAAGGCGUUCCGGCUGCUGCUGGCCUGGCAAAGGAAUCAAGGUUCACGCUGGGGGAAUAUAUGCUACUGGGCCCCUUCCAUGCAGCUCAGAGAUCUCCUGAAACCUGGCACUGCUCAGAGAUACAGUCAAACAGCAGGCCUUCACUCCCGUACCAGCCUGUUCUCUGCUGGGUACCUGCACCAUGAGGAUCUGCUCUGCUCAUAGCAACCCCAGAGUGGGCCAGGCCACCUGACCUUGGAUUUGAGGCCCAAGGAAGAACUGCAGCAUUCAAUGAAGACUUCCUCUAGAGACUGUGGAGCCACAAGCCAAGGGGAAAAUAAUAGGUACCCUCCCCAAGGCCUUUCUUGGGCCCUAAGAACCUCCAUGGCCACCUUGGCAACCCGUGGCCUGGUGGUGUUGGGCCAUGACACUUCGAUGCUCAACACAGGCCCCAGAUCCUAGCAAUGAGGGAUAUGGAAACUUACAAAGGCAACGUUUGAAGAGGAUUCUGUAAGUCCCCAGAAAGGAUGUUAGUGUCCCUGGCCAUCAGUGUAAAUCCCUUCCCACAAGUCUGCAGAGCUACCCUCAUCCUCAGAUGUGCACCCCAGCUGGUAUCUGCAACCCAUCGCUAAGAGCAUCUGGCAGCUGAGACCUCCUGCUACUUGGGAGGCCAUGAAUGGUGGGCAGGGACCCCUGUCACCUACCUGCUUAUCUUGAAGAUCUGAAGAGAGCUCAUAGCUCUCAGAGAGUGACCGAGAGCGCUUGAUGGCCUCCUCCUCGGCCUGCUUGCGCAGGACGGAGGUCGAGUGCUGUAGCCGGGGCCUUCGUGUGCGCUGCUGUGGUCCUGGCCCUGCGUACAGCCCAUAGGCACCCACUGAUGUGUGCUCGUAGUGGUCUGGGCUCAGACUGGAACCAGGUACCAGGGGACCCUGGUGGUAGGCCGAGGGGCUGUCCAGCGACGUGCCAGUCUCGCUGCUGGGGGCCUCACCUUCAACACUGCAGAGGAGAGAGAGGAGAGACACACGCUAAACAGAGAAGCAGAACUUGGGGAGCAGGGCAAGGAAGAGUGCCCCUGGAUAGUCGGGAACCCGCAGAGCCCUCCGCUCUGCAUCUUCCUGGAGCUUCUGAACAACUUCCAUGUUCUGACAUCUGGCAUACUGUACUGGGAAGCUGGCUUCUCAACCAAGUGUUAGCCUCCAAAGACAGGUUUGACCUACUGUGGUGCUGAUGGCCCCAGCACUUAGAACAGAGCCUGGCCUUGCUAGGUACUCACUGUAUUUUGAAAAAAUAAGAUAACUACCUCUCCUGCUACCUGAAUUAAAUGUAGGGCUGGUACCCCCAAAUCCCCAUGACUAUGUUUGGAGACAGGAUCUUUUAAAAUUAAUUUCUCUUUAUUUUA